Molecule: ribosomal RNA, 1346 nt
Filed under: uncultured bacterium
Lineage: Bacteria
Description: partial 16S ribosomal RNA
Rfam family: Bacterial small subunit ribosomal RNA
Source: RNAcentral
GACGAACGCUGGCGGCGUGCUUAACACAUGCAAGUCGAACGGAAAGGCCCUGCUUUUGUGGGGUGCUCGAGUGGCGAACGGGUGAGUAACACGUGAGUAACCUGCCCUUGACUUUGGGAUAACUUCAGGAAACUGGGGCUAAUACCGGAUAGGAGCUCCUGCUGCAUGGUGGGGGUUGGAAAGUUUCGGCGGUUGGGGAUGGACUCGCGGCUUAUCAGCUUGUUGGUGGGGUAGUGGCUUACCAAGGCUUUGACGGGUAGCCGGCCUGAGAGGGUGACCGGCCACAUUGGGACUGAGAUACGGCCCAGACUCCUACGGGAGGCAGCAGUGGGGAAUAUUGCACAAUGGGCGGAAGCCUGAUGCAGCAACGCCGCGUGCGGGAUGACGGCCUUCGGGUUGUAAACCGCUUUCGCCUGUGACGAAGCGUGAGUGACGGUAAUGGGUAAAGAAGCACCGGCUAACUACGUGCCAGCAGCCGCGGUGAUACGUAGGGUGCGAGCGUUGUCCGGAUUUAUUGGGCGUAAAGGGCUCGUAGGUGGUUGAUCGCGUCGGAAGUGUAAUCUUGGGGCUUAACCCUGAGCGUGCUUUCGAUACGGGUUGACUUGAGGAAGGUAGGGGAGAAUGGAAUUCCUGGUGGAGCGGUGGAAUGCGCAGAUAUCAGGAGGAACACCAGUGGCGAAGGCGGUUCUCUGGGCCUUUCCUGACGCUGAGGAGCGAAAGCGUGGGGAGCGAACAGGCUUAGAUACCCUGGUAGUCCACGCUGUAAACGGUGGGUACUAGGUGUGGGGUCCAUUCCACGGGUUCCGUGCCGUAGCUAACGCUUUAAGUACCCCGCCUGGGGAGUACGGCCGCAAGGCUAAAACUCAAAGGAAUUGACGGGGCCCUGCACAAGCGGCGGAGCAUGCGGAUUAAUUCGAUGCAACGCGUAGAACCUUACCUGGGUUUGACAUGGAUCGGGAGUGCUCAGAGAUGGGUGUGCCUCUUUUGGGGUCGGUUCACAGGUGGUGCAUGCCUGUCGUCAGCUCGUGUCGUGAGAUGUUGGGUUAAGUCCCGCAACGAGCGCAACCCUUGUUCACUGUUGCCAGCACGUUAUGGUGGGGACUCAGUGGAGACCGCCGGGGUCAACUCGGAGGAAGGUGGGGAUGACGUCAAGUCAUCAUGCCCCUUAUGUCCAGGGCUUCACGCAUGCUACAAUGGCUGGUACAGAGAGUGGCGAGCCUGUGAGGGUGAGCGAAUCUCGGAAAGCCGGUCUCAGUUCGGAUUGGGGUCUGCAACUCGACCUCAUGAAGUCGGAGUCGCUAGUAGUCGCAGAUCAGCAACGCUGCGGUGAAUACGUUCCCGGGGCU